GCAACCUGCCCAAAAGAGGGGGAUAACACUUGGAAACAGGGGCUAAUACCGCAUAACCAUAGUUACCGCAUGGUAACUAUGUAAAAGGUGGCUAUGCUACCGCUUUUGGAUGGGCCCGCGGCGCAUUAGCUAGUUGGUGGGGUAAAGGCUUACCAAGGCAAUGAUGCGUAGCCGAACUGAGAGGUUGAUCGGCCACAUUGGGACUGAGACACGGCCCAAACUCCUACGGGAGGCAGCAGUAGGGAAUCUUCCACAAUGGGCGAAAGCCUGAUGGAGCAACGCCGCGUGGGUGAAGAAGGUCUUCGGAUCGUAAAACCCUGUUGUUAGAGAAGAAAGUGCGUGAGAGUAACUGUUCACGUUUCGACGGUAUCUAACCAGAAAGCCACGGCUAACUACGUGCCAGCAGCCGCGGUAAUACGUAGGUGGCAAGCGUUAUCCGGAUUUAUUGGGCGUAAAGGGAACGCAGGCGGUCUUUUAAGCCUGAUGUGAAAGCCUUCGGCUUAACCGGAGUAGUGCAUUGGAAACUGGGAGACUUGAGUGCAGAAGAGGAGAGUGGAACUCCAUGUGUAGCGGUGAAAUGCGUAGAUAUAUGGAAGAACACCAGUGGCGAAAGCGGCUCUCUGGUCUGUAACUGACGCUGAGGUUCGAAAGCGUGGGUAGCAAACAGGAUUAGAUACCCUGGUAGUCCACGCCGUAAACGAUGAAUGCUAAGUGUUGGAGGGUUUCCGCCCUUC
Molecule: ribosomal RNA, 734 nt
Filed under: uncultured bacterium
Lineage: Bacteria
Description: bacterial SSU rRNA
Rfam family: Bacterial small subunit ribosomal RNA
Source: RNAcentral